GCACUGCUGAUGAGUCCCAAAGAGAACGAAACAGCUGUCCAGUGC
This 45-nucleotide non-coding RNA is filed under the name Echinostoma caproni. Lineage: Eukaryota; Metazoa; Platyhelminthes; Trematoda; Plagiorchiida; Echinostomatidae. The record is from RNAcentral.